This 475-nucleotide unclassified non-coding RNA is filed under the name Hevea brasiliensis (rubber tree). Lineage: Eukaryota; Viridiplantae; Streptophyta; Magnoliopsida; Malpighiales; Euphorbiaceae. The record is from RNAcentral.
AGUUUGAAACUUUAUCGAUGUCAAGAACAUUUAGCUUGUUCAGAAGAGCUAAAACUUGUACAGCACUAAGGGUGUACAGAACAUGAGGGUCAUGUCCAAUGUUACCAGCAAACCCACCAGAUUCAUGUUGGCAUUGCAUGAUCCAUUCAGUUACUUCUUCUGAAUCAACUACAUCAAGCUUUCCUAAAAGAUCUAUACAGGUCAAUCCCCAGUAUGCUCCACUCAUUGUCAAGUGCUCCAUCACCAAAGAUUCAAAACUAUCCUUCCUCUUUCGAACUGAUAAAAUGUAUUCAACAUGGUUAUCAACUGCUAAUUCCCCCAUCUUCAGCUGCCGUGAGCCGCCAAACAGAGAAGUCGAGUGAAGUGAGACCUAGUGAUAGGAGAAUAGGAGUCAAUAAGAUCAGAAGAGGAGGAUGAGGAUGAUGGGCGGCGAAAAAGAGAGGAAGAGGACCGGCUCAGGGGUGUUUGGUGUAUC